This is a non-coding RNA of Cherax quadricarinatus, 1475 nucleotides long. The record is from RefSeq and is a predicted model, not a curated record. Lineage: Eukaryota; Metazoa; Arthropoda; Malacostraca; Decapoda; Parastacidae.
UAGAACUUUUGAUCAGUCCUUAAUUAUAAUGAUCGUGAGUUUUUAAAAAUAUAUUAGUUGUUAUUUCAUUAUAUUUCAGAAACACUGAGACUGUACCCACCUGGAACCUUCGGUGAACGAGUAUGCAACAAAACCUACAAAAUAACUGGCACUAACGUGGUUCUACGUCCUGGAGACUUGGUGACCAUCCCAAUCUGGAGUUUACACCACGAUCCUCGCUACUGGCCUGAACCUGAGGUGUUUCUUCCAGACCGCUUCUUACCAGAGAACAAGACCAAUAUUAGAAGCUUCACUCACAUGCCAUUCGGAAUGGGUCCUAGAAACUGUAUAGCUAUGCGGUUUGCCUUGUUGGAAGCCAAGGUGGCACUCACUAAGUUGCUACUGAAAGCAGAAAUACACCUGAGGAGCUGCCACGAGGAGCUGAAACUGGAACCAUCUCCCUUCUUACUGAGACCUGAUGGAGGAGUCAAUCUUGUGGUUUCUCCACUCACAGCUAAAACAAAUUAACAAUGAAUUAAGCUCAUCAGUGUAGUAAAAACUAAGGUAGAGAAGGCCAAAGAGAUUAUGGAAUUAAAGUUGAAGGGACAUAAAAAUAAUCAACCCAAAGAGUCAGCUUACUAAUAAUAACAAAAAAAGUCGCCAUGCAGUACAACGUCACUUUGGCAUGGUAGUGGGUCCCCCAUAAGUGGCUUUUUUGUAAACCUUUAAUAGAGUCCCUGGAGGCAGAAUAUUUCUUUUGACAUCAACCUAUCAACUGUUCCCUGGCUUCGCCACGACAUCCUCUUGGUUACGCCAGAAGAAUCCAAGUUGAAACGCUCGAGAACUAUCUCAACUCUCUUGAAGUCUCCAUUCAGUUCACUGUCAAAAAUUGAGACAUCUCACUUCCAUUUCUAGACGUCUUACUUCAUAAAUUUUGUACCAUCUGAAAUGAAACACAUCUAUUCGUUCAUUAUGAGAGAGAUACAACAAGCUCUCUGUCUAAUAUUUAAAGCCCUCAAUAUUUCAAUAAAAUGAGAACAUUAACAACAUUUUAAGACUACUUCCCUUCAUGCUUUGUCUGGAGCAGACGACAGGAGGCCUUUAUUUCUUACGGGUAACGAUGUAGAUCCUUCCAAAGCAUAUGUCAUAUCGACAACCUUUUGUGACAUGGCCAUACAUGGACACAGAACCAAAGAGUAGCAGUGAUCCCCACCCUCUAUCAGUUUUUUUUGGUUCUCUCCGGUACCUACUAUGCCGUGAAUCGAUGUAAGUAGUGAAGCAGUAGAUAACAGAAAUAACAUAAUAGGUAAGAAAUGAGUACUUUCCUUUCCUCAUACUUCACUGCCUUUCUGCUUAUUUUUCCUUCUGUUCCACCAACAGUCAACUCACCCUUAUGACAGUAAGUACAUCAUGUCUGGUGUGACGAUUAACCAAAUGUCUACAGCUCCUACAUACUAAUUCUAAUCUACCAAUAAAGAUCACUGGGUCAGUCAAAA